This 2754-nucleotide long non-coding RNA is filed under the name Brassica napus (rape). RNAcentral describes it as "long non-coding RNA (BNAP_LNC022350)". The record is from RNAcentral. Lineage: Eukaryota; Viridiplantae; Streptophyta; Magnoliopsida; Brassicales; Brassicaceae.
UACAUUCCAGGUUCUCUACUCAAUCUAUCAAAGCUCUCUACUUUAGAUCUUUCCAGUAAUCACUUCUCUGGAUACUUUCCUUGUUCUCUACUCACCAUGCCUUUCCUUUCAAGUCUUCAUUUGAGCCAAAACCAUCUCAUCGACUCUCUUGAAACUAUGAAUUGCUCUUCAUCAUCUAAGCUUGAAGAUUUACACCUUAGCUAUAACCGUCUCAGUGGUCGAAUCCUAGAACCUCUCUCAAAAUUAACCAACCUCAAGGAACUCGACCUAUCUUUUCAAAACACAACCGACCCAAUCAACUUCGUCUCCUCCUUGGGCUUCAAGUCUUUAGAGUUACUGCAUCUUUCCGGAAAUGCUGUAUCACAGCUUAGUAUCGGAUCACCAAAUUUGAGGAGUCUAUACCUCACAAACAUUUAUAUAGUGAAUUGUUGAGUGGACUACGGUCCCCGCUGAGCCUGCCCUGACUUUUCAUUAGAGGAGAUCAAAAAGCAUAAAACUUUUAAAUUUGGAAUUAUUACCAGAGAGAAGGAGAUUUAUCGUUGAACUGAGAGAGGGUAACGAAGUCUGUGAGCUUCCUCUUCGCUACAACCUGUUCGCUGCUUGUGAGCUUUCACGCAAGGAAGACCACAGGAACGGAUCGAACAUCCUGGACAUUUCCUCGUGAAGGUUGGGAUUUAUGGGCUAUUUAGUUGUUAUUAAAAGUUUAUGGGUUCUUUAGAGAUUACUAAGGGUUUAGGACUUAUUUACAAAUAUACAAAUGAUUACUGCACACAAGGAAGGCGCGAAACGAUCGAAUUAGCCCAAAAUGCGUGAACCUCCGAGUGAGCAAGAGGGUUAGGGAAUAUUAACAGUACUUCCGACUCUAGUCACAGCAUUCGACACCUGCAAAAAAUGUCAGAAGACCGCAGUCUCAACCACCUCCCGCCUUCGUCUUACAGGGCCCUAGCUCUAGCUCUGUUUCAGCAUACGUGCAAUGUGAUGAUCAGUGCCUAUACUGCAAACAGGGGGAAGGUAUAGAACCCUUAAGAACUUGGGUAAAUGCUUUAUAACCGAUGCUUUCGCAGCAGAGUUGGGGUCAUAAUCAUUCAAUAUUCAGAGUAACGAUGGAAUGCUACUAUCAAGGAGAAACCAAAAUUCAAGGAGCUAUUCGAGAAUUUUGGGAACCAACAAAUCUUAAAUUCUGCAAAUGGAAUCUUCCUAGUAGUACUUGCAUAGUUAGUCGCGGUUCUCUACUAGUUCUAUCAGACUUAGUCCAAAGAUGUAUACUUCUGUCAAACAAUCCACGUCCAAAGAUAGCUUCUUUGAAACUUAAAACCAAGAGAUCAAAGUUGCUUGACUUAGUGAUGCAAAAGACUCUGGUUUUGAAUAGUAGUCGGUUGCUAGAUUUGUACGUAUAUGUUGACCACUGACUUCUACACACAAUUAAAUGGUCCGUGUUUUGCCCCUUAUUAAGCGCUACCUAUCUUGUUCGGAAUAUAGAUUGUGAGCCACACAUUGGAAAUUUCCACAAUUGAAGAGUCAAGGCAACGUGACUUUAACUCUUAUCAUCGUUAUGCUUUAUGCUCUCUAUAUAUUUUGUUAAAAGUUGUUCUGGCUGCAAAACCAGAUCAUACAUACCCAAGUUUCUUUCUUCAAUAUCUUUUUAUUUGUUUCCAAGUCUUUAUUUUCGAAAUGGUGAAACCGUGUUUCCAUGUUUCUUCCAUCUCCUCUUUCUUAUCUUGUCUCUUUGUCUCCAGCUUCCUUGUCAACACUCUUGUUUCUCUACCUUUUCCUCGUUCUGACCAGAUUGAGAUCCUUCUGGCGUUUAAGAACGAGUUUCCAAUCCUCAAAUGCGACUUCAAUAAGUGGCCUGACUCAGAAACAAAGACAAAAUCUUGGACCAGCAAAAACGUUAAGUCCUUUGAUGGGGUUGGAUUUGAUAACGAGACUGGUGUAGUGACGAAACUAGACCUAGGUGGUGCAUGUCUCAGUGGCAGUCUCAGUGCUAAUAGUAGCCUUUUCAGAUUACACCACCUCAGGUACCUCGAUCUCUCUUACAACUACGUUGACUCGUCCUCAUUCCUCCCUGAACUUGGCAAACUCACAAACUUAGAGUCACUGGAUCUUUCUCAUAUGGGAUUAGCCGGCGAAAUCCCAUCCUCAAUCAGUAGCCUAAACCGUCUAACAAACCUGUAUCUUUACGGUAACGAGCUUAUUGGCAGUUUUUCCCCUCUACUCAAUCUAUCAAAGCUCUCUUCUUUAUAUCUUUCCUAUAAUCUCUUUUCUGGAUACAUUCCAGGUUCUCUACUCAAUCUAUCAAAGCUCUCUACUUUAGAUCUUUCCAGUAAUCAAUUCUCUGGAUACUUUCCUUGUUCUCUACUCAAUCUAUCAAAGCUCUCUUCUUUAUAUCUUUCCUAUAAUCUCUUUUCUGGAUACAUUCCAGGUUCUCUACUCAAUCUAUCAAAGCUCUCUACUUUAGAUCUUUCCAGUAAUCACUUCUCUGGAUACUUUCCUUGUUCUCUACUCACCAUGCCUUUCCUUUCAAGUCUUCAUUUGAGCCAAAACCAUCUCAUCGACUCUCUUGAAACUAUGAAUUGCUCUUCAUCAUCUAAGCUUGAAGAUUUACACCUUAGCUAUAACCGUCUCAGUGGUCGAAUCCUAGAACCUCUCUCAAAAUUAACCAACCUCAAGGAACUCGACCUAUCUUUUCAAAACACAACCGACCCAAUCAACUUCGUCUCCUCCUUGGGCUUCAAGUCUUUAGAGUUACUGCAU